This 352-nucleotide unclassified non-coding RNA is filed under the name soil metagenome. RNAcentral's name for it is "partial contains 5.8S ribosomal RNA, internal transcribed spacer 2, and large subunit ribosomal RNA". The stretch from base 1 to 120 matches the Rfam family "5.8S ribosomal RNA", at positions 35 to 154 of the family's 154-position model. The record is from RNAcentral.
GAUGAAGAACGUAGCGAAAUGCGAUAAGUAAUGUGAAUUGCAGAAUUCAGUGAAUCAUCGAAUCUUUGAACGCACAUUGCGCCCGCCAGUAUUCUGGCGGGCAUGCCUGUUCGAGCGUCAUUUCAACCCUCAGGCCCUCAGUGCCUGGUGUUGGGGAUCGGCCCAGCCUUCCUGUAAGGCCGCCGGCCCCGAAAUCUAGUGGCGGUCUCGCUGUAGUCCUCCUCUGCGUAGUAGCACAACCUCGCAGUUGGAACGCGGCGGUGGCCAUGCCGUUAAACACCCCACUUCUGAAAGUUGACCUCGGAUCAGGUAGGAAUACCCGCUGAACUUAAGCAUAUCAAUAAGCGGAGGA